Molecule: long non-coding RNA, 1315 nt
Organism: Pantherophis guttatus
Lineage: Eukaryota; Metazoa; Chordata; Lepidosauria; Squamata; Colubridae
Source: RefSeq, a predicted model, not a curated record
GGAGGAGCUGGAGUUUCCCUGCUUCGCUCAAGCGUGACUCAUUCCGCGUCCCCCCCCCCUUUCCCUCGGCUUCUUCCUUGCCCCCGGAGAUUCCACGGAGGAAGUGGGGGGCGAAGGCAAGCGGGAGCGAUCUAGGCAAAAUUCGGCGAAGGAGGGCAGCCGGCCCUCAGGAUCCGCGGGGAGGAGACGUGGGGGGAAGGAGCUGGCAGAUCUCCGGCUCUCUCUAGCAAGCCUCUGCGUGGCGGGGCGCCUGGCCACGUGUUUUUAGUGGGAUGCGGGCUCUCGCGUACAGAACCAAACAGUGAGUCUACUGAGUGGGAAAAUGAGCAUUCAAUCUUCCAGGCGUACCCACUUAUUUUCUGAGUUAUAAAUAACAACAUCAUUUGGAAAGAUAUUGGAUCUUAGCAAUCAAAGAUGGCUGUAAACAAAUCGUUGCUUCUCAGAGUGAAAGGACAAAACAGUGAAGGACAGGACAAGGUACGGGAGCCCUAUCUCUGUUAAAUGAAGGACCAUCUGAAAAAUAGUUGGUGGCAGCAGUAAUUACCAACAAUGAAACCAAAUUGGGAAGCAGAUCAGGAUGCAUAGAUCAAGGCAAACUCGGUGAGAGGAGGUUUGUAGUCUCCAGCCUGUUACUCUGUAGGCUCAUCCUUUCACUGCAAAGUGAACUUUAGGAUACCCCACUGUAACUCUGGUCCUUCAUAUGGUCAAAACAAAAUGAAGCUGCAUCUGGGUAAGGAAGCAUCCUUGUCUAAACAGUUCAGUAGCCCUCAUCCGGGCCUUCCCCAGCCUCCAGGACUGGCCCUUGUUCUUCCUCAGCCUCAUCGCUGUCCGACUCCGCUGCCAGCUCCGCAGGCUGCUGGUGGACCACAACAGACAGCCCUGCUCUACACUGAUGUGGAAGCCCUUGGCUGGCUGAUUUGGUUAGUUAGCAGAAUAAGGAAGAAGUUUGUUUCUUGUAAGCACAUGACUCUCUUGAAAUAUCUCGGAAGGUUGCCAAGUUUUGCUUGGUGGUAACUAUCAUAAGGAAGAUCUGGAUCUAGUGCCAGAAUUAGUAUUUUUUUUAUCAGUGCUGUAACAUAAAUUAACAUAAAUUACUCAGUUUUAAUCGUAUUCUUUGUUAUAUGUAUUUGUAUAACUUUGGCUUUCAACCAUAAACAAAGUAUAUGGUAAGCCUUUGGAAAGAAUAUGGUAAGUGAACAAGAUUAUGAAUUAUCCAAUUCACCUCUUUAAUAUUGAAAUAGUCACGAAGAUAGUCCAUAUCUUCUUUUCAUGGUCCUUCCUGCCUACAUGGACUAUGCUAACUUUAUAUGGCUAA